This is a non-coding RNA of Ciona savignyi (Pacific transparent sea squirt), 82 nucleotides long. NCBI's taxonomy places the organism in Eukaryota, Metazoa, Chordata, Ascidiacea, Phlebobranchia, Cionidae. The record is from Rfam.
GACGAGGUGGCCGAAUUGUUAAGGCGAUGGACUGCUAAUCCAUUGUGCUCUGCACGCGUGGGUUCGAAUCCCAUCCUCGUCG